RNAcentral lists this ribosomal RNA (448 nucleotides) under uncultured organism. RNAcentral's name for it is "partial 16S ribosomal RNA". It matches the Rfam family "Bacterial small subunit ribosomal RNA", at positions 332 to 797 of the family's 1533-position model. The record is from RNAcentral.
UACACUCCUACGGGAGGCAGCAGUGGGGAAUAUUGGACAAUGGGCGCAAGCCUGAUCCAGCCAUGCCGCGUGAGUGAUGAAGGCCCUAGGGUUGUAAAGCUCUUUCACCGGUGAAGAUAAUGACGGUAACCGGAGAAGAAGCCCCGGCUAACUUCGUGCCAGCAGCCGCGGUAAUACGAAGGGGGCUAGCGUUGUUCGGAUUUACUGGGCGUAAAGCGCACGUAGGCGGACUAUUAAGUCAGGGGUGAAAUCCCGGGGCUCAACCCCGGAACUGCCUUUGAUACUGGUAGUCUUGAGUUCGAGAGAGGUGAGUGGAAUUCCGAGUGGAGAGGUGAAAUUCGUAGAUAUUCGGAGGAACACCAGUGGCGAAGGCGGCUCACUGGCUCGAUACUGACGCUGAGGUGCGAAAGCGUGGGGAGCAAACAGGAUUAGAUACCCCUGUAGUCCC